This 435-nucleotide long non-coding RNA is filed under the name Chinchilla lanigera (long-tailed chinchilla). RNAcentral's name for it is "lncRNA (ENSCLAG00000029274.1)". Lineage: Eukaryota; Metazoa; Chordata; Mammalia; Rodentia; Chinchillidae. The record is from RNAcentral.
CCUGUCCUGAGAGUGUCAGGCUGUAACGUCUCCAUACACGGGAAAUGGUGUCGCCUAUGUGCACUCCGAACGGAGCAGCACACGUACUGGGAAGAGGCUCUGGAGGUCUGACCCGACGACAGCACUCAUCCGCGGACUGAGAAGGAGGGACUGGCCGUAGCAAACAACCACUUUAACCUUUUCAGGAACCUGUGUCAGAGAGAAACACACAGCACGGGGCUGCAAAGACGGAAACCAGUUUGUCUCAAUGCAUUCCAGCCCUGCACAGUCUUGACUUCGGGCGCAGAGAUGUGAAGAUGUUUGAUGUGUAGAGAGCACAACUUGGAGAGAGCAGAGCAAGACUUUAUUCUAAACACAUUUGCCACGGACACUCACUCGGCUUCCUUUGAAGAUUUUGCAUCACGGAUGCCUUGCAGACAGAUCUUUUGCAAAUAG